AGGGUUUGAUCCUGGCUCAGAACGUACGCUGGCGGCACGCCUAAUACAUGCAAGUCGAACGAAGUAGCAAUACUUAGUGGCAGACGGGUGAGUAACAUGUGGGUAUCUUCCCUUUGGUGAGGAAUAACACGAGGAAACUUGUGCUAAUACCUCAUAAGUCUUUACGGAGAAAGCUUUAUGCGCCAAUGGAUGAGCCCGCACUUGAUUAGUUUGUUGGUGAGGUAAUGGCUCACCAAGACUUUGAUCAAUAGCUGAUUUGAGAGGAUGAUCAGCCACAUUGGGACUGAGACACGGCCCAAACUCCUACGGGAGGCAGCAGUAGGGAAUCUUGCACAAUGGGGGAAACCCUGAUGCAGCGAUGCCGCGUGAGUGAAGAAGGCCUUUGGGUUGUAAAGCUCUUUCGUCGGGGAAGAAAAUGACUGUACCCGAAUAAGAAGGUCCGGCUAACUUCGUGCCAGCAGCCGCGGUAAUACGAAGGGACCUAGCGUAGUUCGGAAUUACUGGGCUUAAAGAGUUCGUAGGUUGUUAAAAAAGUUGGUGGUGAAAUCCCAGAGCUUAACUCUGGAACUGCCAUCAAAACUUUUUAGCUAGAGUUUGAUAGAGGAAAGCAGAAUUUCUAGUGUAGAGGUGAAAUUCGUAGAUAUUAGAAAGAAUACCAAUUGCGAAGGCAGCUUUCUGGAUCAUUACUGACACUGAGGAACGAAAGCAUGGGUAGCGAAGAGGAUUAGAUACCCUCGUAGUCCAUGCCGUAAACGAUGUGUGUUAGACGUUGGAAAUUUAUUUUCAGUGUCGCAGCGAAAGCAAUAAACACACCGCCUGGGGAGUACGACCGCAAGGUUAAAACUCAAAUGAAUUGACGGGGACCCGCACAAGUAGUGGAGCAUGUGGUUUAAUUCGAAGAUACGCGCAGAACCUUACCAACACUUGACAUGUUCGUCGCGACUUUAAGAGAUUAAAGUUUUCGGUUCGGCCGGACGAAACACAGGUGCUGCAUGGCUGUCGUCAGCUCGUGUCGUGAGAUGUUGGGUUAAGUCCCGCAACGAGCGCAACCCUCACUUUUAGUUGCCAUCAUUUAGUUGGGCACUCUGAAAGAACUGCCAGUGAUAAGCUGGAGGAAGGUGGGGAUGACGUCAAGUCCUCAUGGCCCUUACGUGUUGGGCUACACACGUGCUACAAUGGCAUUUACAACAGGACGCAAAACGGCGACGUUAAGCAAAUCCUAAAAAAAUGCCUCAGUUCGGAUUGUACUCUGCAACUCGAGUACAUGAAGCUGGAAUUACUAGUAAUCGCGGAUCAGCGCGCCGCGGUGAAUACGUUCCCGGGUCUUGUACACACCGCCCGUCACACCAUGGGAGUUGGUUCUACCUUAAGGCAAAGGUUAAAAACUUUGACCACGGUAUAGUCAGCGACUGGGGUGAAGUCGUAACAAGGUAACCGUA
RNAcentral lists this ribosomal RNA (1439 nucleotides) under uncultured bacterium. RNAcentral describes it as "bacterial SSU rRNA". It matches the Rfam family "Bacterial small subunit ribosomal RNA". The record is from RNAcentral.